Long non-coding RNA from Papaver somniferum (opium poppy), 2072 nucleotides. RefSeq lists it as uncharacterized. The record is from RefSeq and is a predicted model, not a curated record. NCBI's taxonomy places the organism in Eukaryota, Viridiplantae, Streptophyta, Magnoliopsida, Ranunculales, Papaveraceae. The transcript has 6 exons.
CCUUUCCUCGUUCAUCCUAAACCUUUCCCUCUACGUUUCUUCUACAGCAAACCAUGGAUCUUCAGCAUCAAAUACCUGAGAUGAACAAGGAGGUCACCAAGCUUGCUAGGAAGUUACGCCUUUCACUUCUACUCCAUAAACCAUUCUAUGCACAGUUGCGAUCUAGCAGACUACAACAAAGUAAUCUUGAACCAGUUGCGAUCCAAGCCGAGAGAAGCCAAGCGGAAAUUGAUGAUGUUAUCGAUAUAGCAAAUGCUAUUCCGGAACCCUAUAUUCAUUAAAACAUCUAUUUGUUACAGAGAACCCUAUGCGUCUUUGUUUUUCAUUAAAACAUCUGUUUAUUACUGGGUUACAAAUUAUGAGAACCCUAAUCUGAUUACUAACUCUUUUGUUUUGUUACAGAGAUUAGAGUUGAUUCACGGUUGGGUGUAUCUGUAACGAAGAACCCUAAUCUGACCAAGAACAAGAGGCCCAGCAGAUUGUUGCAAGUGCUACGGACAACCAUUCUUUACAGAUAUUAUCGAAAUAUGAAGAGGCUCCACAACCAAGUUACAUAGUUGCCAUUAUUCUUAAAUUUGUUGGCAACGUUAUAUGCUGCCAUCACAUUAUUGCUCUUAUAUCGUGUAUAUGUUUAAAUCAAUUAGAUAUGAAAUGUAAGUUGGAUUUUGAAAUGUUGACGUCCUACUGUGAAUACACAGGUUUAUGGUUGCACGAAAACAAAUUCUCGAAAUGUAAUAUAGAUAUGAUUCUGUGAUAUGUUAUGUUUGACACUACCUUCUUGCUUGCUAUCUUAACUCAACUGGUAGUGCACAUGGCCUUCAGCCAUGUAGUUGUGGGUUCGACUCCAGCAGAUGGCAUAUAAGUUAAGUCUUCUCUUUGUGCAAUGACCACCAAUUAAUCCGAUAUUGUAAUUGUAGAUACUCAAGAAAAUCCAUACGCGCAUACAAUUGUAGUUUUGGUAGUGUUUCCCUCAAUUCCUCUUGGAAGAGGCAAAAAAAGAAAAACUGGACAGCGAUGCACAUUUAUCAUCUUUAUGUGUGUUGUUAUAGUUGUUAUUUUUUAUGGAAGUAGGAGGAAACUGGCGUAAUACCGUAUUUGUAUUGUGUUGGUAAACACCAUCUUGCAUUAUGUGUUGGUAAACACCAUUUUGCAUAAUCGUAGCUGCUGAGAUUUUUGGGCGCAUGGUGAGUGAAAAAGCCUGUGUAUCUAGAGGUGCCUCACUUAACUUUUCUCUCUCUCAUUUUUUGAUCAAUAGCUGCAUGUUUACCGUGUUUUGCAAUUUCUUGGCUGUUCAUGCAAAGAGUGAAAGACGCAAGAAAAGGAUCGACUGUAUUCAGUACUGAAGGAAGUUCCAUUUAUAUGAGAUCGGAAAGUUGAAAUGAAAUUGUUGGCACACUUUGGCAUUUUGAAAUAAAUCCAGGGAUUGCCUUUGUUUCUAGAGGAAAUUUCAAUGGUAUCUUAACUCCGAUGUAGCUCUACCAAGAAAACCCAGUUACCAUGUAUAUGGCAGUUAGCCAGAUUCUUGAAUUGCUAACCAUGCCAGAUCUGUGUUAGGAUCACCCGUAAAUGGCUUGAAGUUGACUUGAUGCUCACCCAAGAGGUUACCAGUUUGGUUGUGUUGUUGCUCGACCAAAAUGUUAAUUGAUGAAUUGAAGACUGCACAACGUUUUUGUCAUGCGAAGACUGCACACCGUUCUUUUUUCCAAAUGGAAUUGAACACACCUCUGACACACAUUUGCUCUUCAAUAGCUCCCCAGUCGUAUAAGGAAGUCUUGGUAGUUUGAAUCAUUCUAACAUUUAUAUAGUGAAUGAGUUUCACCUUUCACAGAUAUCUCCAACUAGAUUGUUUGUUACUUUUUUUUGUAUCACAGUGAUAGUAAACAUUCUCAAGCACAAUGCAUCUGUGCGCUAAUGUGAUACCAAGGAGCAUUGCAUGUGAAUCUUGCAUCUUGGUAAUCUUUGUCAUAUCUCCUCAUAUGUGCACUUUGGGUUUUAUGUUUGCCCAUUAUUUUUCUAUAACUGUAGUACCGUUAUUGGACCAAUUAACAUGAUAUAUACUGUGGGUUUGGAAA